AGUGAACGCUGGCGGCAGGCCUAACACAUGCAAGUCGAACGGCAGCACAAGAGAGCUUGCUCUCUGGGUGGCGAGUGGCGGGCGGGAGAGAAAUGCAUCUGAAUCUGCUCAUUGGUGGGGGAUAACCUCGGGAAACCGGGACUAUUACGGCAUACGUCCUACGGGGGAAGGCAGGGGAGCUUCGGACCUUUCGCAGAUGGCUUAUCCGACGCCGGAUUAGCUAGUUGGAGGGGUAAAGGCCCACCAAGGCGACGAUCCGUAGCGGGUCUGAGAGGAUGAUCGGCCACACUGGGACUGAGACACGGCCCAGACUCCUACGGGAGGCAGCAGUGGGGAAUAUUCCACAAUGGGCGAAAGCCUGAUCCAGCAAUGCCGCGUGUGUGAAGAAGGCCUUCGGGUUGUAAAGCACUUUUGUUGGGGAAGAAAAGCAGCCGGUUAAUCCCCGGUUGUCAUGACGGUACCCAAAGAGAAAGCACCGGCUAACUUCGUG
Molecule: ribosomal RNA, 490 nt
Filed under: uncultured bacterium
Lineage: Bacteria
Description: partial 16S ribosomal RNA
Rfam family: Bacterial small subunit ribosomal RNA
Source: RNAcentral